RNAcentral lists this ribosomal RNA (510 nucleotides) under Bacillus cereus. RNAcentral describes it as "bacterial SSU rRNA". It matches the Rfam family "Bacterial small subunit ribosomal RNA", at positions 75 to 568 of the family's 1533-position model. Lineage: Bacteria; Bacillati; Bacillota; Bacilli; Caryophanales; Bacillaceae. The record is from RNAcentral.
AGAGCUUGCUCUUAUGAAGUUAGCGGCGGACGGGUGAGUAACACGUGGGUAACCUGCCCAUAAGACUGGGAUAACUCCGGGAAACCGGGGCUAAUACCGGAUAACAUUUUGAACCGCAUGGUUCGAAAUUGAAAGGCGGCUUCGGCUGUCACUUAUGGAUGGACCCGCGUCGCAUUAGCUAGUUGGUGAGGUAACGGCUCACCAAGGCAACGAUGCGUAGCCGACCUGAGAGGGUGAUCGGCCACACUGGGACUGAGACACGGCCCAGACUCCUACGGGAGGCAGCAGUAGGGAAUCUUCCGCAAUGGACGAAAGUCUGACGGAGCAACGCCGCGUGAGUGAUGAAGGCUUUCGGGUCGUAAAACUCUGUUGUUAGGGAAGAACAAGUGCUAGUUGAAUAAGCUGGCACCUUGACGGUACCUAACCAGAAAGCCACGGCUAACUACGUGCCAGCAGCCGCGGUAAUACGUAGGUGGCAAGCGUUAUCCGGAAUUAUUGGGCGUAAAGCGC